UACGGAGGGGGUUAGCGUUGUUCGGAAUUACUGGGCGUAAAGCGUGCGCAGGCGGCUCAUCAAGUCAGAGGUGAAAGCCCAGGGCUCAACCCUGGAACUGCCUUUGAAACUGUUGGGCUUGAGUACGGGAGAGGUGAGUGGAAUUCCGAGUGUAGAGGUGAAAUUCGUAGAUAUUCGGAAGAACACCAGUGGCGAAGGCGGCUCACUGGACCGGCAUUGACGCUGAGGUACGAAAGCGUGGGGAGCAAACAGG
Molecule: ribosomal RNA, 253 nt
Filed under: uncultured bacterium
Lineage: Bacteria
Description: partial 16S ribosomal RNA
Rfam family: Bacterial small subunit ribosomal RNA
Source: RNAcentral